GACGAACGCUGGCGGCGUGCUUAACACAUGCAAGUCGAACGAGAGCGUAGAGAAAGCUUGCUUUUUCUACAAUCUAGUGGCAAACGGGUGAGUAACGCGUAAACAACCUGCCCUACGGAUGGGGACAACAGCUGGAAACGGCUGCUAAUACCGAAUACGUUCCGAAAGUCGCAUGACUAUCGGAAGAAAGGAUGGCCUCUAUUUAUAAGCUAUCGCCGGAGGAGGGGUUUGCGUCUGAUUAGCUAGUUGGAGGGGUAACGGCCCACCAAGGCGGCGAUCAGUAGCCGGUCUGAGAGGAUGAACGGCCACAUUGGAACUGAGACACGGUCCAGACUCCUACGGGAGGCAGCAGUGGGGAAUCUUCCGCAAUGGGCGAAAGCCUGACGGAGCAACGCCGCGUGAGUGAAGACGGCCUUCGGGUUGUAAAGCUCUGUUAUACGGGACGAAUAAUCUUGUGGUUAAUACCCAUGAGAAGUGACGGUACCGUAAGAGAAAGCCACGGCUAACUACGUG
Molecule: ribosomal RNA, 513 nt
Filed under: uncultured bacterium
Lineage: Bacteria
Description: partial 16S ribosomal RNA
Rfam family: Bacterial small subunit ribosomal RNA
Source: RNAcentral